RNAcentral lists this ribosomal RNA (468 nucleotides) under uncultured bacterium. RNAcentral describes it as "partial 16S ribosomal RNA". The stretch from base 52 to 468 matches the Rfam family "Bacterial small subunit ribosomal RNA", at positions 39 to 507 of the family's 1533-position model. The record is from RNAcentral.
GGGGGGGGGGGGGGGGGGGGGGGGGGGGGGGGGGGGGGGGGGGGAGGCGGUGCGGUGGGGGGGUGGGCGAGUGGCGGACGGGGGGGUGGGACGUGAGUAACGUGCCCGUGACUUUGGGAUAACUUCAGGGAACUGGGGCUCAUACCGGGUAGGAGCUCCUGCUGCAUGUGGGGGGGUGGCAAGUUUCGGCGGUUGGGGAUGGACUCGCGGCUUAUCAGCAUGUUUGUGGGGUAGUGGCUUACCAAGGCUUUGACGGGUAGCCGGCCUGAGAGGAGGACCGGCCACAUUGGGACUGAGAUACGGCCCAGACUCCUACGGGAGGCAGCAGUGGGGAAUAUUGCAAAAUGGGCGGAAGCCUGAUGCAGCAACGCCGCGUGCGGGAUGACGGCCUUCGGGUUGUAAACCGCUUUCGCCUGUGACGAAGCGUGAGUGACGGUAAUGGGUAAAGAAGCACCGGCUAACUACGUG